GACCCCAAGUCAGGCGGGAUCACCCGCUGAGUUUAAGCAUAUCAAUAAACGGAGGAAAAGAAACUUACAAGGAUUCCCCUAGUAACGGCGAGCGAACCGGGAAUAGCCCAACUUGAGAAUCGAACGGCCCCGUCGCCCGAAUUGUAGUCUGGAGAAGCGUCUUCAGCGGCGGACCGGUCCCAAGUCCCCUGGAAAGGGGCGCCGGAGAGGGUGAGAGCCCCAUUGUGCCCGGACCCUGUCGCACCACGAGGCGCUUUCGGCGAGUCGGGUUGUUUGGGAAUGCAGCCCCAAUCGGGCAGUAAAUUCCGUCCAAGGCUAAAUACGGGCGAGAGAACAAUAGCGAACAAGUACCGCGAGGGAAAGAUGAAAAGGACUUUGAAAAGAGAGUCAAAGAGUGCCUGAAAUUGUCAGGAGGGAAGCGGAUAGGGGCUGGCGAUGCGCCUCGGUCAGAUGUGGAACGGUGAAUGCCGGUCUGCCGAUCGACUCGAGGCGCGAACCAGUGCAGAUUGAGGCGGCGGCCAAAGCCCGAGCAGUUGAUAUGCUUGUGGAAUGCCGUCGCCCCGAUCGUGGCGGACAACGCGCGUCCUCGGCGUGCCUCGGCAACUGCGCGCUCCCGGUGCUGGCCAGCGGGCUCCCCCCAUUCGACCCGUCUUGAAACAGGACCAAGGAGUCUGACAUGUGUGCGAGUCAACGGGUUAGUAAACCAGCAAGGCGCAAGGGAGAUGACUGGCGCGAUCCCCCUCGAGGGUUGCAACGCCGACCGACCUUGAUCUUCUAAGAAGGGUUCGAGUGAGCAUACCUGUCGGGACCCGAAAGAUGGUGAACUAUGCCUGAGCGGGGCGAAGCCAGAGGAAACUCUGGUGGAGGCCCGCAACGAUACUGACGUGCAAAUCGUUCGUCUGACUUGGGUGUAGGGGCGAAAGACUAAUCGAACCAUCUAGUAGCUGGUUCCCUUCGAAGUUUCCCUUAGGAUAGCUAGAGCUCGAGCGCGAUUCUAUCGGGUAAAACCAAUGAUUAGAGGCAUCGGGGGCGCAAUGCCCUCGAUCUAUUCUCAAACUUUAAAUAGGUAGGACGGUGCGGCUGCUUUGUUGAGCCGCACUAGGGAAUCGAGAGCUCCAAGUGGGCCAUUUUUGGUAAGCAGAACUGGCGAUGCGGGAUGAACCGGAAGCCUGGUUACGGUGCCCAACUGCGCGCUAACCUAGAUCCCACAAAGGGUGUUGGUCGAUUAAGACAGCAGGACGGUGGUCAUGGAAGUCAAAAUACGCUACGGAGUGUGUAACAACUCACCUGCCGAAUCAACUAGCCCCGAAAAUGGAUGGCGCUAAAGCGCGCGACCUAUACCCGGCUGUCGGGGCAAGAGCCAGGCCCCGAUGAGUAGGAGGGCGCGGCGGUUGUUGCAAAACCCUGGGCGUGAGUCCGGGCGGAGCGGCCGUCGGUGCGGAUCUUGGUGGUAGUAACAAAUAUUCAAAUGAGAACUUUGAAGGCCGAAGAGGGGAAAUGUUCCAUGUGAAUGACACUUGCACAUGGGUUAGUCGAUCCUAAGGGUCGGGGGAAGCCCGACAGACAGCGCGUUCAGCGUGUGCUCUAAAAGGGAAUCAGGUUAAUAUUCCUGAACCGGGACGCGGCGGCUGACGGCAACGUUAGGGAGUCCGGAGACGUCCGCGGGGGCUUCGGGAAGAGUUAUCUUUUCUGUUUAACAACCUGCCCACCCUGGAAACGGUUCAGCCGGAGGUAGUGUCCAGCGGCUGGAAGAGCACCGCACGUCGCGUGGUGUUCGGUCCGCCCCCGGUGGCCCUUGAAAAUCCGGAAGACCGAGUGCCGUCCGGGCCCGGUCGCACUCAUAACCGCAUCAGGUCUCCAAGGUGAACAACCUCUGGUCGAUGGAACAAUGUAGGCAAGGGAAGUCGGCAAAAUGGAUCCAUAACAUCGGGAAAAGUAUUGGCUCUGAGGGCUGGGCACAGAGGUCUCUGUCCCGAACCCAUCGGCUGUCGGCGAAUUGCUCGAGCUGCUCCCGCGGCGAGAGCGGGUCGUCGCGUUCCGGCCGGGGGACGGACUGGGAAUGACUCAUUCGGGGGCCUUCCCCGGGCGUCGAACAGUCGACUCAGAACUGGUACGGACAAGGGGAAUCAGACUAAUUAAUUAAAACAAAGCAUUGCGAUGGUCCCUGCGGAUGCUUACGCAAUGUGAUUUCUGCCCAGUGCUCUGAAUGUCGAAGUGAAGAAAUUCAACCAAGCGCGGGUAAACGGCGGGAGUAACUAUGACUCUCUUAAGGUAGCCAAAUGCCUCGUCAUCUAAUUAGUGACGCACAUGAAUGGAUUAACGAGAUUCCCACUACCCCUGUCUACUAUCCAGCGAAACCACAACCAAGGGAAUUGGCUUGGCCGAAUCAGCGGGGAAAGAAGACCCUGUUGAGCUUGACUCUAGUCCGACUUUGUGAAAUGACUUAAGAGGUGUAGGAUAAGUGCGAGCAGAAAGGCGAAAGUGAAAUACCACUACUUUUAACAUUAUUUUACUAAUUCCGUGAAUCGAAAGCGGGGCAGUGCCCCUCUUUUAGGACCCAAGGCCCGUCUCGGCGGGCCGAUCCGGGCGGAAGACAUUGUCAGGUGGGGAGUUUGGCUGGGGCUGUAAUUGAGUGAGCGUUUUUUAUGUAGUCUGUGUUUUACACAAGAAGUACACUGAAUUUCAAGUGUGUGUUUGACGGUGUAGUGAAUUUUAUUCAAUGUGUGUUUUGAUGUAGUGCGUGUUUUUCUUAAGUGCGUGUUUUUGGAGUAGUGUGCGGUUUUUUUUUCGCUUUGAAUUACUCAACAACUACACUGGAAAACACAUACUGGAAAAAAAUGCACGCAGUACAUCAAAAACACAUACUGAAAAAAAACACGCACCACACCAAAAACACACACUGGA
Molecule: non-coding RNA, 2904 nt
Organism: Erythranthe guttata (spotted monkey flower)
Lineage: Eukaryota; Viridiplantae; Streptophyta; Magnoliopsida; Lamiales; Phrymaceae
Source: Rfam